This is a non-coding RNA of Ictidomys tridecemlineatus (thirteen-lined ground squirrel), 6247 nucleotides long. The record is from RefSeq and is a predicted model, not a curated record. NCBI's taxonomy places the organism in Eukaryota, Metazoa, Chordata, Mammalia, Rodentia, Sciuridae.
UCAUGUGAUGCAGGAAGAGAGCGCAAAUGAUAUGGAAUGUGAGCAACUGCCAGCAGGGACGCUGCAUCAAGUGACCAUUCACCGAGACCCUAUAUAUGGCUUUGGCUUCGUGGCCGGCAGUGAGAGGCCUGUGGUGGUUCGAUCUGUGAGGCCAGGAGGCCCCUCUGAGGACAAGCUCCUGGCUGGUGACCAGAUUGUGGCUAUUAAUGAGGAGGACGUGAGUGAAGCCCCCAGGGAGAGGUUCAUAGAACUCAUCAGGAGCGCUAAGGAAUUCAUCGUUCUUACAGUUCUGCACACUCAUCAGUCCCCCAAAUCUGCCUUCAUCAGUGCUGCGAAGAAGGCCAAGCUGAGGUCCAAUCCUGUGAAGGUCCGAUUUUCUGAGCAGGUGGCAGUUGGAGAAAUAGACGCAAAAAUGAUGAAGAAGGAAGCUCUCCUCCUCAUCCCCAACGUCCUGAAGGUUUUCUUAGAGAACGGGCAGAUCAAGUCAUUCACAUUUGAUGGCCGGACCACUGUUAAGGAUGUAAUGGUGACAUUACAGGACCGCCUCUCCCUGAGGUACAUUGAGCACUUUGCUCUUGUUCUUGAAUAUGCUGGGCCAGAACAGAGUCACAAGUUCCUGCUUCUUCAAGACAAGCAGCCCCUGGCUUAUGUGGUACAGAGGACACACUAUCAUGGAAUGAAAUGCCUGUUCCGAAUAAGCUUCUUUCCCAAAGACCCCGUGGAGCUGCUGCGUCGGGAUCCUGCUGCUUUCGAGUACCUUUACAUCCAGAGUCGGAAUGAUGUUAUCCGAGAACGCUUUGGAAUGGAUCCCAAACCGGAGAUGCUUCUGGGCCUUGCUGCCCUCCACAUCUAUAUCACUGUCUCAGCCACUCGGCCUAGUCAGAAGAUCUCACUCAAGAAUGUGGAGAAGGAGUGGGGCCUGGAACCCUUUCUCCCCCCCUCCCUCCUACAAGGCAUCAAAGAGAAGAACCUUCGGAAAUCUCUCUCACAGCAACUGAAGGCUCACCAAAUGCAUCCUUCUAGUGGCACCAAGGGCUCUGCAAUUCAGGCAAAGCUCCAGUACCUUCGAAUUCUGAAUGAACUUCCCACCUUCACCGGCGUUUUGUUCAACACUGUGGGUCUGGACGAGAAGCAGUCAGCUACCACUCUCUUAGUGGGACCCCGUCACGGCAUCAGCCAUGUUAUUGACCUCAAAACCAACCUCACCACUGUGCUGUCCGAGUUCAGCAAGAUCAGUAAGAUCCAGCUGUUCCGGGAGAACCAGGGCGUGGCCCGUGUGGAGACCAGCAUCAUGGAUGCCAAGCCUCUGGUGCUGUUGAUGGAGUGGCCUGAAGCCACCAACUUUGCCUGCCUGAUUGCGGGGUACUGCCGCCUCUUGCUGGAUUCCAGGAAGAUGGUCUUCUCUAGGCCUGCCAGCCAGCCUCUUCCACCUCCAAUGAUCAAGGCAGAUUACAUGCACAGUGCCCACCGCCCUGUCACUGGGGGCCACCUGGGGAAAAAGGAGAGUAGUUAUGUGGGCAGCAUGGGCGCCAGCCCCAGGAAGUCGAGCCGCUGCACGCCCCCGCCUACCGACUCUGAGCUUGUCAGCUUCUGCUACCUCCACAUGCGGGAACAAAGGAAGGAGCAGGAAAGCCGGACAGAUGUCAACGAGAACCUAAUCUUCUUUGAGGAGACCAGGCCCCGGACCAAGUCUGACCCCACGUCCAAAAGCUCUGGCCAAGGUUACGAUGUGGUCCCUGAUGACUUUGAUGCAGCCAGCCUAGACCAUGAGCCUUGUGCCAGCAGGGCCCGGUCCUACACCUUGGACAAUUCCCUAGGGGCUGAAGCCCUGAAUUUCUACUGUGACUCAUGCAAAGCCAAAUUCCAGGAGCAGCAGGGCCCUCGCAAAGGCGGGAGGCCUGGCUCCUCUCGUGACAAUAUGGUAGACUUGAUGUCCCUCCCACCACCUGGGAGUGAGGAGGAAGAGGAAGAGGAAGAUGAAACAACUUCUCUGUUGCCUGCCAUUGCUGCCCCACCCCCUGGUUUCCGAGACAACAGCUCUGAUGAGGAUGACCCCAAGCGCCGAGCAGUCCAAAGCCAGGAGCAAGGACGCCACCUUCGUGGGCUCUUGUAUGAUGAGAUUCCAGUGACGCUGAUUGACAGUGUGCAGACCCGGACAGUUCGAGAUCAUGCCCAGGAGCUAGAUGAUGCUCUAGUGUCCACCCUGCAGGCUCUGGAAGCUCUGGCUGCUUCAGAAGAUGGACCGCACCCCCCACCCCCACAGACUGCAGGUCUGAUUGUGCUGGCCACAAUCACUCCCGAAUCAUCGCUGGACUCGGGCCAUGAAACUAACUCUUCAGAGCUCACAGACAUGUCUGAGAUGAUGUCGGCCAUGAAGCAGCACCAGAAUACCACCUACUUCCUGGCCCAACACCUCAACAAGGACAGCCUCCUUGCCCGCAAGGACCUGCCCUUCCGGAUCCAGAGUUGUGCAGCCCAGGCCGUUCUCACGGCCCCUUACUCUCUUGGGCGCCCGGAUCCCAACUCAUCCCUCCAGCCAACUGUCACAGGCCAGAGUCCUGGCCCCCCAGGGGCUCGGAGAAAGCUGCCCCACUCAGAGACCCAAACACAGGGAGAGCGAUCAUACUCCCUGGCAGUGCACCCAGCGCUGUCUCCACAGCUUAGUGAGCAGAAGAAUCUGAGCCUACUGCCCCCAGUUCCUGAGGACAAAGGGCCUGGCCACACUAAGGCAGGCCUAGAGAUGUCACUGAGAGCAGCCACACCAUCCAUUAGUGAAGAACAGGUCUCGGAGAUGAGAGAGAAUCUGCCUAAGGAGGUCAGGUUGAGCCCCAAGCUUAUCCUGGACCCAAAAGGCAGUGUGACUCCAGCCAUCAUCUCGGCUGCCCUACAACAGGUGGUUCACAGUAAGAGUCUAGCCACUCCUGGCGGGGCUUUGGUGAACCCCCCAAGCAGAGGGGAGAGACAGUUGGAGGCCAGUGGGGGAAGGCCAGAAGUCAGCAUGGGCAGACCAGAAGUUGUUAGCAUGGUGAGCAGCAGCGCCAAUAAGAAUCUGAAGUUUAAAAUGAGCUCCGGUGCUCCAGAGACCUCACGGAAUUCCCAGCAGCAGCUGGGCACAGAGGUCUCCUCCAGCCCCAGAGCACCCCCAGGCAGCCGGGCUGACAGCCUACACCUCUCCCCACAAGAGGAUAGGCUUCCUGUUCCAAGUUUCCCUCCCAAAAGCUAUCAUCUUUCACGAGCAAGUCGAGAGUCAGUGGGCAAGCAAGCUCCAGGGGAGGUGGCAGGCAAGGGUGGAGCAGAGGGUGCAAAGCCUCCGCCACACAAGCAGGGCACUGUCUCCAGCCAGGGAGAGAAGGGGCAACUGGAAAGUACUUCCAAGAGCAGCAAACUUGAGGAGACAAGCCUGGCCCCCCGAGCUGGGUACCCAAUGGCUCUGCAGAGCCCCAGCUGCCAGCCUCGAAGCCACAGCCCUAGCUGCCAGCCCCGUGGUCACAGCCCCAGCAGCCAGUCACGAGGCCAGAGCCCUAGCUGCCAACCUCAAGGCCAGAGUCCAUUAAGGCCACAGGCUAGCAGCCGGCAGGUGAGCACCAUGCCCUCCAGGAAGCUUGAGACGACACUGGAUGGAGCCCACUCAUCCUCUGAAGGUCCCACAAAGCCCAAGUCAUCCCGUGGUCCUUUCCGGCUACGCAAUUUAUUCUCUGCCACCUUCCCCACCCGCCAAAAGAAGGAGACUGACGAGCGACAGGCGCAGCUGCAGAAGGUAAAGCAGUAUGAGCUGGAGUUCCUCGAGGAACUUCUAAAGCCACCAAGCCAGGGGGAGCUACCGGGCACUGAGUACCUGCACCCUCCCGCACCUGGCCGCUGCAGCUGCCAGCUACGCAGCAGCCCCGUGCAACAGGGGCCUGGCAUGUCCCGCGAGCAAAGGCGUAGCUGUGACUGCAAGCGCAUCUGCCGAGGGGGCCGACCACAGGCUGCCCAGACACCGGUGCCUGGCCUCCAGGGGAGGGAGAGGGACAGGGUCCCCCCUACCCAGAGACAGCCAGAGGCUGGCCCAGGCUUGAGCCUUGGUAGCCCCAUCAAUAUCCGACGCAUCCGUUCCACCAGCCUGGAAUCUCGAGAGUGCCGAUCGGACCCAGAAAGUGGUGUUUCGUGCCUGACCACGUGUGCCUCGGGGGGUGAGUGUCUGGGAGCUCCCAACUACAGGAAGCUGAUGCGCCGUUACAGCAUCAGUGAGCUGGACCAAGGUGACAGGGCUUCGCUGACCUCAGAUGUCUACCCACACCCACCCCUGGGCAUGCUGCCCAGGGAGGCCAAGGAGGUAGAGGCAGGCCUCCCCCUAGGCUUGGGUCCCAAAAGCAAGUCUGUGGAAUCACCAACCCUGGGAGACCCCUCAUAUGUCCAGGUUACCCCUGAGACCAAAGGCCCCAGGCCAAUGGCCGUGUUCUCACUGCCAGAGGAGGUGUACCGGAAGCCUGCCGAUCUAGAUGAGGACAGUGAGACUAGCAAGUGCUGCUCCAUUCGCUAUUGCUUCUACUACCGCAAGUGUGAUAUGGCAGAUGAUGCCAGUGAUGGCAAGGAUGAGCUCUCCUACUCCAUCCCCAUGAAGAUUCUGCCUGGCAUGAAGUUGGAUGAGCAGGUGGUGCCUGUAGUAAGCAGGACCCUGCAGGUGCUGGAUGCUGCCACCUGCAGCAGCAGCCCCGAGGCCUCCCGCACCCAGGAGAUUGACCUUCGGGUGUCCACCUUCGAGGGGAGCCUGGCCAAGAUCAAUGCCCUGCGUGCCCAUGCCUAUGGCCUCCCUGAUGGCUUCCUGGCUGCCCGGCUAGAUACCAAUGAACUGCUGACAGUCUUGAGGCAGUGUGUGGCCAGCCCCGAGGCUCGUGCCCCUAAGCCCUAUGUCUCUCAGAUCUCUGAGUACAAGCUGGAGCUAGCUCUCAAGUUCAAGGAGCUCCGGGCCUCCUGCCGCCGGGUGGCCAAUGUGGACAAGAGCCCGACUCACAUGUUGGCAGCCAUCACAGGCAGUUUCCAGGUGCUGAGCAGCCUCAUUGAGACCUUUGUGCGGCUGGUAUUCAUCGUGCGCUCCGAGGCCCAGCGCCAAGAGCUUCUGGCCAAGGUGGAAGAGGUGGUGAGGAAUUACACCUUCCUGCUGCGUGCAGCUGAGGAGUCCACAGCCCGGAACCUUAACCAGCAGCAGCAGCAGCAGGCAGCUGCAGCAGCAGCAGCAGCUACAGGGGCAGCCACAGGGCCCCCACCAGGCUCCCCAACUUCAGCGACUGUUAUGAGCACAUUCACCCGCUCCUUAAAAACCAUUAUUAAGUAGGGCAUCUGCCCAGGCCUGCCCCCGACCCCACCCACAGCCCCAGGUUUGAGCUUUGUGGUCCUUGCAUCUUGUGGUGAGUGUGUGUGUGUGUGUGUGUGUGUGUGUGUGUGUGUGUGUGUGUGUAUGUGUGCGUGUGUGUGCGCGCUGGGCCAAUCAGGGUCCAAGAGCCCAUCAGUCUCCAGGGAGUGAAAAUUCCCUUGACUGGGGCUCUCUCUUAAGGGCUGCAGGCCUAGCUGCCGCCCUGGGUGUCUUCACCCCUUCCCUGGCCUCUUGGUGUCACUGUGAGGGCAGAGGCCCCUCGCCACUACGCUCACCACAGAGCUGUAUUUUAUCUCUUCUCUGGGGCUGAGAGGUGACAUCAGGCUCACUUCCUGCUCCGAGUUGGGCAGCAGGGGAGCCAAGGUCUCAAGCUCCUCCUGGCAUCUGCUCCCUUCCCGGGAACAGUGGUAGUAGCAGUAGGCCACAGCGCCAAGCUGAGGAGAGAGGCGCUCUGUCCAGAUCUGCCCGCCCACCCUUGGGCUCCCGCUCACCAGGCAGGAGCCACCCCAAGGGCCUAUGCCCAGGUGGGUUGUGUGCGGAAAACAGCCGUGCCUGGCUGUCAGUGGCCAGCCCAACAGGCUGGUAGCCUUGGGAGCCCUUGCCCCCAGGUCCAGCAGCUCCACACCAGCCAUCUCCAAAGCACCCUGCCCCUUGCUGAUGGGCAGGGCAGCUCAGUCCACUAGGGAGCAAGCCUCUGGGAUCACCCCACUCGUUGGGUAAGGUACCUGGUGAAAACGUCUGCCCUGGGGAGACCCAGCGCAGGCCUGGGAGUCCACACGGUGCAGCCCAGUCCCAUGCAGGGGCUGUUGCCAAAGGUGUGUGGCUCCUCUUUCGACAUCUCUACCAGACAGACUGUCCUUAGGAGUUGACUUAGCUAUGGUUGGGGUGGGGGGU